Molecule: unclassified non-coding RNA, 271 nt
Filed under: Exophiala pisciphila
Lineage: Eukaryota; Fungi; Ascomycota; Eurotiomycetes; Chaetothyriales; Herpotrichiellaceae
Description: partial internal transcribed spacer region
Rfam family: Eukaryotic small subunit ribosomal RNA (bases 1-46)
Source: RNAcentral
AAGUCGUAACAAGGUUUCCGUAGGUGAACCUGCGGAAGGAUCAUUAACGAGUUAGGGUCCCUCGCGGCCCGACCUCCCAACCCUUUGUCUACCUGACCACUGUUGCUUUGGCGAGCCCGUCUAUAAUGGACCGCCGGGGGGUACCUUGAUCGGCCCUCUGGUCCGCGCUCGUCGAUAGCCAAACUUUUAAAAUCUUAACCAAACGUGUCUCAAUCUAAGUAUUAUUUGUUAAAUAAAAGCAAAACUUUCAACAACGGAUCUCUUGGUUCUG